GUGUAUUAUCCUUGAAGUCCCAGGGGAACAUAUUUUCCCCACUGAAAAUCAUCGACUAGUAGCUUAUCUCUGUUGCAAUGAAGAGGAAAUGCUGGACUAACUUUAGCUGAGCAGUUUGGAUCACAAUAUACAGACUGCCCUGUGGAACAGUCAUAAGGAAACCAGCUGAUGUAAGAGAAUGAAGACAUCUGAGAGCACUGUUUAAGCAAACUCGAGCUAAAGUAGGUGGAACAGUUGGUCACAGUCUCUUAGAGCAAAUGGAGCAGCAAAGCACAGAAUGGAAGGAGAGAGCCUCACUUCUCCCCUCUGGAUUAUUAGCACUGUGAAGAGAAGGAUGGAAGGACUGAUUACCAAUCAUGUGAGGAAAUUCAAUCUUUUAAGAAUGUGAGCAGCAGUAAAAACCAAGGUAAAAGGAACCAUAUUACUUUCAGAUAAAUUUCAAGAGCUUCAGAGCUUCCCACUCUUCAAAGGCUUUCUGCAAUAAAAGUUUCCAGCAGAAGAGCAUAUGUGGAAUAACAAAGCUCAGUAAAAACCAACUAAAUGAAAAGGAAGGUGACAGCCAGGAAUCCUAAAUCAAAGAAAUGCUGUGAAGAGGAUGCAGCUUUCUGAGGUGCUUAGAAAUGGAAAGAUGCUUUUGGAAACCAUGCUGGACUGAAGACCUAGACUGAGAUUCCCAGAUUCUAAUAAAAAUAUGGCAUAGCAAAGUGCUGGCUAAAUGAUGCCUAAGCAGUCAAACACAUUGUCCUGGCCAGUACUGAAAGCUGUUGCUACUGUGACUUCUGCUACCUCUACCAGCAGUGGCUACGCUCAUAGUGAGCAAGAGGCAUAUAACAACCACUGAUCUGGAUGAUUUUACUUCAUGUGAAAACUGAGGUAACGUGUUCUUACAUUUCUCUAAGAAAAACAGGAGUGCACUAAGGAGCAGGAAGUAUCUGCAGAGCUGAUUGGAGCAAUGUAAGCAGGGAGGUGGUGCCAUCCAGGAGGAGCUCAGCUGGGCCAGUGCAGCAGUCCCAGCCAUGCAAUGGGCAGUCCAGGAUGGAGCCCAGGGGUCCUUGGAGCUAACCCUGGGGAUUCUGCUGGACCUCCUCCCCAGCAACAACCUGGCAGUAGCAUUCACAGCAUGCCCCACUUGAGUUUUCCACACCUCUGCCAACAACACAGCACUUAACAGGGAUCUCUUAAAAUGUGAUGAGCAAUCUCAUUUCACUGCUUCACCUCUGCAGCCCACAGAAGCAACUGCUUUUAGUCUCUUGAGAACUUUGUCCCACAAUCCUACAUGACUAGCAAUGCAACCACUCAGCAUACACAUGUAAGUAUUAGGGAUAAAACCAACAUCAACAAUAAGCCAGUAACAUGCUGUGCAGCUAAUGUAGCAUAGGAUGAGAAUUAAAUAAAAUCCAACCUGGACGAAGUAA
Molecule: non-coding RNA, 1415 nt
Organism: Agelaius phoeniceus (red-winged blackbird)
Lineage: Eukaryota; Metazoa; Chordata; Aves; Passeriformes; Icteridae
Source: RefSeq, a predicted model, not a curated record